RNAcentral lists this unclassified non-coding RNA (222 nucleotides) under Dermatocarpon arenosaxi. RNAcentral's name for it is "partial contains 5.8S ribosomal RNA, internal transcribed spacer 2, and large subunit ribosomal RNA". The record is from RNAcentral. Lineage: Eukaryota; Fungi; Ascomycota; Eurotiomycetes; Verrucariales; Verrucariaceae.
CGCACAUUGCGCCCCCUGGUAUUCCGGAGGGCAUGCCUGUCCGAGCGUCAUUAUCCACCUCCAGCGUGCUGGGCGUUGGGCCGACCGUUUGGUCGCCCCGAAAAGCAGCGCGGCACCGUUCCGGGCGCAACGCAACGAGCUUCGGCACGCGUUGUACCUGUAGCGGCCCGCUUCCACUUAAAGGUUGACCUCGGAUCAGACAGGAUUACCCGCUGAACUUAA